RNAcentral lists this ribosomal RNA (460 nucleotides) under uncultured bacterium. RNAcentral's name for it is "partial 16S ribosomal RNA". It matches the Rfam family "Bacterial small subunit ribosomal RNA", at positions 338 to 795 of the family's 1533-position model. The record is from RNAcentral.
CCUACGGGAGGCAGCAGUGAGGAAUAUUGGUCAAUGGACGAGAGUCUGAACCAGCCAAGUAGCGUGAAGGAUGACUGCCCUAUGUGUUGUACACUUCUUUUAUAUGGGCAUAAAAUGUUCCACGUGUGGGCUUUUGUAUGUACCCUAUGAAUAAGGAUCGGCUAACUCCGUGCCAGCAGCCUCGGUAAUACGGAGGAUCCGAGCGUUAUCCGGAUUUAUUGGGUUUAAAGGGAUGGUAGGGGGAUUGUUAAGGCAGGUGUGAAAGUUUGCGGAUCAACCGGAAAAUUGCAGUUGAAACUGGCAGGCUUGAGUACAGUAGAGGUAGGCGGAAUUCGUGGUGUAGCGGGGAAAUGCUUAGAUAUCACGAAGAACCCCGAUUGCGAAGGCAGCUUACUAAACUGUGACUGACAUUGAGGCUCGAAAGUGUGGGUAUCAAACAGGAUUAGAUACCCGGGUAGUC